CAACUAGAGAAAGAGAACUAAAGAAGCUACUUGUCGUGUAAUAUCUCCAGUGUGAGUGAGAGAUGUUCUAGUUAAUGGCUUUUCCUUGAUCUCGUCUUCUUCUUGGGUUCGUGGUUUGCCUCUCGGGGGAGUGAUUUCAAAUCUUGUUUCGGUGGUUUUGGUUGUGGGUGAUGUUUCACUGCCUGGUCUCCCUCCCGCUUGAGGUCCGGUUCCGGUCUUAUUGGUUGUGUGAGGUGGUGGUGGAUUCAGUCUCGAUCGUUACCGACGGUACUCGUGUCUCCCUCCUCGUAUGGUCUGCUCAGCUUUCUUCUGGAUUCGGGGAGUUGGGGCUUCCUAUCCGAAGCAGUUGAUUGCAUUUUCAGGACGAGGUUGCCAAUAUUGGAUCACUGAUAAAAUUGGAUUCCAUCGAUUUCGUCUCGUCAAAAGUCAUUGACGUCGUCACUCAUCACUGUCAGGGCCGUCGUUUGUUUUCUCCAUCCGAAACUGAUUUGCACGCUUCAUCCGAGUCCGACUUUGCUGCUCUUUGCUGUUGAUUAAGGUGGUCCGGGUCUCUGCUUGAGGUCUUGUUGUGCGAGGUGGUGAUGGUGGAUUCAGUCUCAGGUACUCGUGCCUGCCUCCUCGUAUGGUCUGCUCUGCUCUGCUUUGCGACGAGGUUGCCAAUAUUGGAUCACUGAUAAAAUUGGAUCUAUCCAUUUCGUCUGGCCAUGUCAUUGACGUCAGGGUCGCUGUCUUUCUCCAUCCCAAACUGAUUUGCAAGCUUUCUUCUUGUGUUCGUUUGCUUUUUUAUAUUUGGUGGAGCGGAACUAGACAAACAUGUUUCAAGAACUGAAUGUGUGGUGAAUAAAUAGCAGAAUGCAGAGUUCCUUUUGUUUGACCGUUUCGAGUGUAUCGCAUAUCCUGAUGCCUGAGUCAGGACACAUUCUUAUUUUUCAAUUCACUACUGUUUUGCUUCACCCAAACAAAACAGAAUAACUCAAUGCAGUUUUCCUUCACAGCACUUUCAUCUACAAGGAAGAAUCUUAGAAUAAGACAUUUAACUCAAUGUAUAAAUAACACAUGCUACAAGUCAAAUAUAAAGUGAUAACGAAGCUUGAAUUCUUCUUAGCACAUAACACAUUUAACUCAAUGUAUAUAACACAUGAUAAUGUAGCCAAAGCAAGUAGAGC
Molecule: long non-coding RNA, 1166 nt
Organism: Brassica oleracea var. oleracea
Lineage: Eukaryota; Viridiplantae; Streptophyta; Magnoliopsida; Brassicales; Brassicaceae
Exons: 5
Source: RefSeq, a predicted model, not a curated record